Apis mellifera (honey bee) is the source of this 856-nucleotide long non-coding RNA. RefSeq lists it as uncharacterized. The transcript is spliced from 3 exons. Lineage: Eukaryota; Metazoa; Arthropoda; Insecta; Hymenoptera; Apidae. The record is from RefSeq and is a predicted model, not a curated record.
AAAGAUAAAGAGUAUUUUAACAUCAUUAUAUUCUUCAAUACUACGUUCUAAACUUUUACGUUUAUCUUUAUUUAUAGAGGACUAAUAUAUCACUUGUCUAUCAUCAUUAUAGCUUCUAUAUAAUAUUUUAAAUAAAAUUUACUUAAUAUAUUAUUUUAAGAUUUUUAAAACAUAAUUUAUGAAAGAGUACUUAAUUCAUAUUUUAAAUAACAAUCAAAAUUCGCGGAUUUUAAUUAAUCGAAUAUUUAAGAAACACCGAUUCGAUAUCGUUCGAUAGCCAAUCAAAGUCACGCAGAUCUUCACUGAACCAAUCAACGUCAAUCAAUAACACCGCGCGCUUUUUUCCGAGGCGUCAUAAAUCAAUCAGUCAUCGACGCUUAUUAUGUGAUGUGCUUUUCUAAAAAUGCGAGUUAAAUAAAAAAAAUUAGGCGAUCAUAAAUAAAACGCAUCCAGGGAACGCGUCCGUCUUCUCAACCCCGUGGCGCGUAACUGAGUUUCUUCGUAAUAUACAGGGACUAGUGGCGGUGGAGGUGGAAUAGACACGGUUAUAGGUUAUGGCGGUAGUGGUAGACCAGAAAAGAAAAUUGGCAAUUUUAUAUGUUAAUGUUUCUAUGUUUUAUCUAAAUUGAUUUCAUAUUGAAAUAAAUUCUUUGAAAAUGAAGCAUUUCUUUGUGAGCAUCUUAUGAGAUUUGUAAUUGGAUAAGCGUGCUACGAGAAUUCAAUGACUUGUCUAUAUGUAUAAGUGAUAAAAGUCGACGCAUACGAAAUAUAUAAAUGAAAAUUCCAAAAAGUAAUCGAUGUAAUUAACUACACGCAUGCGUGUUAUACAUAAUAAUGACGAAAAUAGAAAACUCUA